This 72-nucleotide transfer RNA is filed under the name Bacteroidetes bacterium CG2_30_33_31. Its description in RNAcentral is "tRNA-Arg". It matches the Rfam family "tRNA". From Rfam's summary of the family: Transfer RNA (tRNA) molecules are approximately 80 nucleotides in length. Their secondary structure includes four short double-helical elements and three loops (D, anti-codon, and T loops). Lineage: Bacteria; Pseudomonadati; Bacteroidota. The record is from RNAcentral.
GGCUCCGUAGUUCAAUGGAUAGAAUUUUAGAUUCCGGUUCUGACGAUAUGGGUUCGAAUCCCUUCGGAGUCA